Molecule: ribosomal RNA, 263 nt
Filed under: uncultured bacterium
Lineage: Bacteria
Description: partial 16S ribosomal RNA
Rfam family: Bacterial small subunit ribosomal RNA
Source: RNAcentral
CCGGCGCACGGGUGAGUAACACGUAUGCAACCUGGCCGUCACAGGUGGAUAACCGGAAGAAAUUCCGACUAAUACAGCAUAACACUCCUGAGGGACAUCCUUCGGGAGUCAAAGGAGGCAACUCCGGUGACGGAUGGGCAUGCGGCGCAUUAGGUAGUUGGUAGGGUAACGGCCUACCAAGCCGACGAUGCGUAGGGGUUCUGAGAGGAAGGUCCCCCACAUUGGAGCUGAGACACGGUCCAAACUCCUACGGAAGGCAGCAG